This 1890-nucleotide long non-coding RNA is filed under the name Marmota monax (woodchuck). The stretch from base 653 to 717 matches the Rfam family "tRNA". The record is from RNAcentral. Lineage: Eukaryota; Metazoa; Chordata; Mammalia; Rodentia; Sciuridae.
AAAUAAUUGAGCCUAAAUGAAAAAUAUAUAUAUUUGCAUGAAACAGUGAGCUUUUCUCUAAAGAUAUUAUACUCUUUUUAAACCACUCCCCAGAAAUAUGCGCUGUGUGUUCUAGCUUUUUCCCAUUUUCCUAGUUUUGAGAUAAUAUAUUAAUUCCCAGAGAAUAAAUGUGGAGAGACAGCUGUAGAGUCUCCAUUUAAUAUUAGGUCAUGUACUUACAGUAAUACCUUAAAAUUCUUAUCUUUUAGUCCUCUGAGGACUCAAAGUUCAUUCACAUGUUUGAGCAUCUUGACUCCUAAGUCAUGUCCACAUUUUCAACAUAACCCAGGACAGUGGAGACAUAGUUUUACCACAAGCUUAAGAAAAUUGAGGAGACUCAGGUAUUAAACCUAGUGUCUCUCAAUUGCUGCUGUGGUCCUGCAUUCACUGAACUCCACAUAGUUCCUAUCUCCUUUUAGAACCUUCUAGAAACAGAAGAUUCAAACCCGUUGGUGGAUAUGACCUACUGACCUUCCCUAAAGGCCACCUACAUUGUUACUGUUUUACAGUUGAGGAAGGAGGAAAUAGCUGAGACCAUUUACUCUGUCUAUUGGCUUUAUAACCAGAGGUCACUGCCAGGCCCAUUGAGCAAGUUCAAUUCUAUGGGACUGGAGGUAUAACUCCAUGGUAGAGUGCUUGUUUAGUAUGCAGAAGGCCCUGGAUUCCAUUCCCAGUACCGAAAAGAGAGAGACUGUGACAGGAACAGUGACACAUACCUGUAAUGGGAUUACUCAGGAGACUGAGGCAGGAAGAUUGAAAGUUUGAGGUCAGCCUCAGCAACCUUAGAGAGACCCUCAGCAACUUAGUGACUCCCUGUCUCAAUAAUAAUAAUAACAACAACUUAGAAAAGAGAGAGUUCAAGCCCAUUACCUCCUGAUAGCAGUCUGCUUUCUUAAACAAUUUUCAAUAAAUUUAAAUAUUGACUCCAAAUUCUGAAUUCCAUAUUUGUUCGGGAUUAUAAUCAACUCUAUGCUUCAUAUGUAGAAUGUCAAUUCACUGUGUCCAAUUGCUUGGUGAACUCCUGGCAGAAUCAGUUCCUAAGAAUUCUGUAAGUGUGCAUGAAUCAUCCUCAGGCCUCGGGUCAUAGAAAGACCAUCCAGGCAGAAGAAUGACUACCCAGUCCAAGAGCUGGUGACACAUGCAAGGGGUUAUGUCUUUUGCAGCCUUGUCAUAUUUUAGGGGUAAGCACAAAGCAUUAUAGGAGCCUAUAAAAGUGAAAGCUGACCCAGAAUGGAAGGGUUAGGAAAGGCCCAGUGGAAUAAGCUUCCAAAUUGAGAUGUGGGAACUAAUUAUUUUGCUAGAGAAAGACCAGAAGGGAGAUAUUGAGGUAGGGAAAAUCAUAUAGUCAUGCAAUAGCACAAAAGCCUAACCAGAAGAUCAGUCACCUACCUAUUGCUGUACAAUAUGCAAAAAUGUAUCACCCACAACGUCUUUCUUUGAUUUGACUCUCCUAUCUUUUCUGUAAGAAGCCUUACCUCCCUUCCUUCAUAGAUCAAAUUUUUUUCCCUCUGCACCAAAAAAAAAAAAGUCACCUGCUUGCCUUAAAAGCCAUGUUUACACAACCAGCAUGAUUUCUUUUCAUUGGUGAUUUUUGGCCCUGGGGUUGUAUUUCUUAUACUCACAAUGUUUUGAAUGUGACAUUUUAAACCUAACUUAACUCUUUUCUACUACCAAAGCUAUAUUAAUCCAGUAAGGAGGCUUAACAGACAAUCCAAGCAGACAGACCUGCAGAUUCCCAGUGCCACAAAAAAUGUGAAUUGUUUUUCUUCUGCCUACAGGAUUGAAGGUUAUUGCAGAGUUUCAGAUUUUUUAUGAGCAUUUACAAUUGUGGAUCUGAUUGGGAUCUGGGCU